CCCUUAGAUGUUCUGGCCGCACGCGCGCUACACUGAUGCAUUCAACGAGUCUAAAACCUGCUCUGAUAGGGGUGGGUAAUCUUUUGAAUGUGCAUCGUGAUUGGGAUAGAUGAUUGCAAUUUUUCAUCUUCAACGAGGAAUGCCUAGUAAACGCAAGUCAUCAGCUUGCAUUGAUUACGUCCCUGCCCUUUGUACACACCGCCCGUCGCUCCUACCGAUUGAAUGAUCCGAUGAAUAUCAUGGAUUGAGGAUGCAAGUAGGUUCGCCUAUCUUCAUCUUCGAGAAGUGAAGUAAAUCUUAUCAUUUAGAGGAAGGAGAAGUCGUAACA
Molecule: ribosomal RNA, 328 nt
Filed under: uncultured eukaryote
Lineage: Eukaryota
Description: partial 18S ribosomal RNA
Rfam family: Eukaryotic small subunit ribosomal RNA
Source: RNAcentral